RNAcentral lists this transfer RNA (72 nucleotides) under Pseudanabaenaceae cyanobacterium LEGE 13415. RNAcentral's name for it is "tRNA-Glu". It matches the Rfam family "tRNA". Rfam says of the family: Transfer RNA (tRNA) molecules are approximately 80 nucleotides in length. Their secondary structure includes four short double-helical elements and three loops (D, anti-codon, and T loops). The record is from RNAcentral. Lineage: Bacteria; Bacillati; Cyanobacteriota; Cyanophyceae; Pseudanabaenales; Pseudanabaenaceae.
CAUACUAGCUCAGUGGCUCAGAGCGAUCGCUCCUCCAGCGAUUGAUCACAGGUUCGACUCCUGUGUAUGACA